AUGGAGGCGAUGAUGAAGGAAUUAGGUCUGAAGGAGGAUGACCUAGAAGACAUGGUGAUCGAGGCGGAUGAGCUACCGGAGGAGGCCACCAGAUGGAUGGCGCUGGCCCGUGUCCACACAGAUAAGCCCUAUAGCCAAUACUGGUUCUUCCGUAAUAUGCGUGUGGCGUGGGAUCUAGCGCAAGAGGUGAAAUUCCGCCCGCUAGAAGAGAACCUCUACACCCUCCAGUUCUCGUGCCUCGGCGACUGGGAACAUGUGAUGGAGGAGGGGCCUUGGACUUUCAAGGGAAAAAUGGUGGUAAUCACACCGUAUGAUGGCUUUACAAAACCAUCUACGAUUGAGCUGAACAAAGUGGACAUAUGGAUCCAAAUCCAUGACUUGCCUGAGGGCUACUUCUGCAAGAUAAAGUCGAUGUCUUCUACGGUGGGCGAAUACAUCUAUGCCGAGCCAAAAUCCCAAGACUUUGAAGGCAACUUUUUCAGAGUCCGUAUUAAGAUCAAUGUCACUAAGCCGCCGAAGAACGAUGUGUCGCUUGUCAUCAAGAGGUAG
RNAcentral lists this ribosomal RNA (549 nucleotides) under Triticum aestivum (bread wheat). RNAcentral's name for it is "partial small subunit ribosomal RNA". Lineage: Eukaryota; Viridiplantae; Streptophyta; Magnoliopsida; Poales; Poaceae. The record is from RNAcentral.